This 66-nucleotide transfer RNA is filed under the name Paphia euglypta. Its description in RNAcentral is "tRNA-Phe". The record is from RNAcentral. Lineage: Eukaryota; Metazoa; Mollusca; Bivalvia; Venerida; Veneridae.
GUUAUAGUAGUUUAAAUUUAGAACAUAGCUUUGAAGCGGCUGGAGUGGUAAGUUUUCCCUAGAACA